CCGCCCGUAGCUCAGCUGGAUAGAGUAGUGGCUUCCGAAGCCAUUGGUCACAGGUUCGAAUCCUGUCGGGCGGGCCA
Molecule: transfer RNA, 77 nt
Filed under: Pseudomonadales bacterium
Lineage: Bacteria; Pseudomonadati; Pseudomonadota; Gammaproteobacteria; Pseudomonadales
Also listed under: 2 other names
Description: tRNA-Arg
Rfam family: tRNA
About the family: Transfer RNA (tRNA) molecules are approximately 80 nucleotides in length. Their secondary structure includes four short double-helical elements and three loops (D, anti-codon, and T loops).
Source: RNAcentral